This 438-nucleotide ribosomal RNA is filed under the name Triticum aestivum (bread wheat). RNAcentral describes it as "partial small subunit ribosomal RNA". The record is from RNAcentral. Lineage: Eukaryota; Viridiplantae; Streptophyta; Magnoliopsida; Poales; Poaceae.
AUGGCCAGGGAACCCUCGGUGCUCUUUUUGCAGGGAGUUGAAACCUCUAAGCACCUCUUUUUCACUUGCCCUGUUGCCAGGGUUGUUUGGAGGUCUAUUGGGGUGGUGCUAGGCACUGAUAUGUGUCCCAAUAACUAUUGGCAAUAUUUUGUCUGGUGUAGCAAAUUUCUUCCUGGCAAAGAAAACUUCUAUACCGUGGGCCUAGCUGCUACUUGUUGGGCCAUAUGGUUGGCGCGUAACCGAGCUACUUUUGAGAAAAAACAGAUUAAGACUCCUUUUGAGAUUGUUUUCUCCCUCUGCUCGUUUCUACUAUAUUGGACAGGAUUACAGAAAGGAGAAGCGGCUGGAGAACUUCGCGCAGGUGCAGAGAUGAUCAGGAACAGCACGCUGCAGCUGAUGCGACUGUGUGACACUGCCAAGCAAACGAUUCAGACGUGA